UCUGAGCUCCAUGAGCAUAUGUCCCACUGUCUACUUGGCGUCUUCUUGAGAAUCUUCAACGUUACCUGAAAUUUAAUAUGCUGAAGACCAAAGGGUCUUCCUCCCUCCACCCCUGGUCCCUAAGGCUGGCCCUCCCCCCAGGGCUCCUCAGCUCACUAGAUGGCAAUGCCGUCCACCUGCUUACACAAGCCAGUGUCAUCCUUGGCCCUUCCCUCUCUCUCCCACCAUUUCAUGUUAACCCCCUCACUCAGCCCUGCCAAUUUUACUUCUUCGGCAUCUCUCCACUCCAUCCACCCUCUCCCUCCUGCUCCAUCACUAGUCCGUGUGGCCUCGGUGUCCCAUCUGGUUGCUGUGAGGUCCCUCGGUGACCUCUGUGCCCAUCGAACCCCACCCAGAUGUUCUUCAUGCUGCAAUCGGAGGGAUCCUUUCAAGAUGCAAAUUUGAUCACACAUUCCCUCUCCCCAUUCAAUAGCCCCGCCAUCGCUCUUGGGAAAAGGAUGAAAUCCUGGUCUCUGCUUGCUUCUCAUCCCAUCUCACUCCUGGCACAGCGCCUAGCACAUAGUAGGCACUUGGAUCGGAACCCAGGCACUCUGAGCUGAGAACCAAGCUCCUCGUGUUUACGCUGUUCUGCCCACUCCCUGCACUUGGCACAGAGGAGGUGACAACAUGGUGGCCUGUGGAUGGAACCCAGCAGAAGCAGGGGGGAAGGCUGCUAGCUGGGGGGGCCCGCAGGGCUGAGCGACUGACUAGCCAGGCCUGGAAGCCAUCUUGACUGCAGCCUCCCCAAGGCAGACACUCCCCGGGGCUCAGGGAGGGCCAUCCUUGGGCAGCAGCUCCCGGAAGUGAAACCACCUGCUCAGCACUUGGGGGAAAGGGGCUGGAGGGCUGGGCCUGGCCGGCUGAGCAGCCCGGAGUAGGGAGAGGCCUUCUGGCCCCCCGGGGAGAGCCUGGCCUCCUCUGUCCCAGAGGCAGUUAACCGCCUCUUGGGACACUCCCUCCGCCUCCCCCCAGGGCUGCUCCUCUGUGAGGGCAUUAAAUAUUUAUGAAUCAGCGCAUUUCCGAUGUUUUCUGAGCAAUACGUUUGCGUGAUGUGGGUGUUGGUGAGCGAGGCCCCCGCCAGGACCGGCUGGCCUGUGAAUCCCACUUGUCACCCCCCCUUCCCACACCACGAGCCAUAACCUGGGGGUGGAGAGAGUCCCAGUCU
Long non-coding RNA from Acinonyx jubatus (cheetah), 1204 nucleotides. RefSeq lists it as uncharacterized. The record is from RefSeq and is a predicted model, not a curated record. Lineage: Eukaryota; Metazoa; Chordata; Mammalia; Carnivora; Felidae. The transcript has 3 exons.